Non-coding RNA from Rattus norvegicus (Norway rat), 562 nucleotides. The record is from RefSeq and is a predicted model, not a curated record. Lineage: Eukaryota; Metazoa; Chordata; Mammalia; Rodentia; Muridae.
GCGUGAAUGUGUUGGUGGGACGAGUAAAGCUGUUGUGGACAGUUACGUGCAGGUUUUUAUGUGGGCACACAUUUUUAUUUCUCUGGAUGACUGUGGGGGAGUGAACUCGCCAAGCUGUGUAAUGGCUUGUGGGCAUCAUGUAUCUUCUUUUGCCUCCUCCUACUUACAGCCAGCAUCAGACAUGGACUCAUUUUUGCUGACCAUGCCAACAAUUUCAUGUCAAGAAAGAAGUUAAAAUAAUCGGAAUGCAUUAUUACCAUGGCUCCGGCCUGAGCUCCCACUCCAGGUCUCAACGGACCAGACUGUACACAAGGGAUUCGCCUCUGCUUCAGUAGAAAUGUAGUCUGCUGCCAUGAAUCAGGGGCGAGGAGCUUUGGCUGCCCUGUCAGAGGACUCUGCUGGAUUCCCAGCAGGCACCCACCCACAUGGUGGCUCACAACCUCUACUUCCAGAGGAUCCGAUGCCCUCUUCUGGCCUCCUCAAGUACUGCACAUAGGUGGUGCACAUAUAGCAUAUGCAGGCUGACAUUCAUACACGUAAAAUAAAAUACAUUUGUAGUUAA